RNAcentral lists this ribosomal RNA (464 nucleotides) under uncultured bacterium. RNAcentral describes it as "partial 16S ribosomal RNA". It matches the Rfam family "Bacterial small subunit ribosomal RNA", at positions 29 to 507 of the family's 1533-position model. The record is from RNAcentral.
ACGAACGCUGGCGGCGUGCUUAACACAUGCAAGUCGAACGGAAAGGCCCUGCUUGCAGGGUACUCGAGUGGCGAACGGGUGAGUAACACGUGGGUGAUCUGCCCUGCACUUCGGGAUAAGCCUGGGAAACUGGGUCUAAUACCGGAUAGGAGCCAUUUUUAGUGUGAUGGUUGGAAAGUUUUUUCGGUGUAGGGUGAGCUCGCGGCCUAUCAGCUUGUUGGUGGGGUAAUGGCCUACCAAGGCGGCGACGGGUAGCCGGCCUGAGAGGGUGGACGGCCACAUUGGGACUGAGAUACGGCCCAGACUCCUACGGGAGGCAGCAGUGGGGAAUAUUGCACAAUGGGCGCAAGCCUGAUGCAGCGACGCCGCGUGGGGGAUGACGGCCUUCGGGUUGUAAACUCCUUUCGCUAGGGACGAAGCUUUUUGUGACGGUACCUAGAUAAGAAGCACCGGCUAACUACGUG